This 79-nucleotide transfer RNA is filed under the name Clostridium bornimense. It matches the Rfam family "tRNA". From Rfam's summary of the family: Transfer RNA (tRNA) molecules are approximately 80 nucleotides in length. Their secondary structure includes four short double-helical elements and three loops (D, anti-codon, and T loops). Lineage: Bacteria; Bacillati; Bacillota; Clostridia; Eubacteriales; Clostridiaceae. The record is from Rfam by way of RNAcentral.
GCUGGUGUGGCGGAACGGCAGACGCAUUCGACUCAAAAUCGAACGAGAAAUCGUGUGGGUUCAAAUCCCACCAUCAGCA